UGGAACAUGUAAGUAAGGGCUGCCCAUGUGCAGUCGUUACCAACAUGUUUUAC
RNAcentral lists this microRNA precursor (53 nucleotides) under Ciona intestinalis (vase tunicate). RNAcentral describes it as "microRNA cin-mir-4006a precursor (cin-mir-4006a-2)". The record is from miRBase by way of RNAcentral. Lineage: Eukaryota; Metazoa; Chordata; Ascidiacea; Phlebobranchia; Cionidae.